This 1372-nucleotide ribosomal RNA is filed under the name uncultured Bacillota bacterium. RNAcentral's name for it is "bacterial SSU rRNA". It matches the Rfam family "Bacterial small subunit ribosomal RNA". The record is from RNAcentral. Lineage: Bacteria; Bacillati; Bacillota.
AGAGUUUGAUCAUGGCUCAGGGUGAACGCUGGCGGCGUGCCUUACACAUGCAAGUUGAACGAGAACUCUUUUCAAUUUACUACGGUAGAGAGAAAAGAGAGACAGUAGCGAACGAGUGAGGAACACGUAGUAACCUGCCCACUGGAGGGGGAGAACCACUGGAAACGGUGGCUAAUACCGCAUAAGCCCGAAAGGGGAAAGCAAUUUAUUGUGCCGGUGGAGGGGACUGCGGGCCAUCAGGAAGAUGGUGAGGUAAAAGCUCACCAAACCGACGACGGCUAUCUGACGUGAGAGCGUGAUCAGACACGAGGACACUGAGAAACGGGUCCUACUCCUACGGGAGGCAGCAGUGGGGAAAUAUGCCACAUGGGCGAAAGCCUGAUGCAGCAACGCCGCUGAAAGGAUGAAGGCUUUUGGGUCGUAAACUUCUGUCCCUUGGGGAAGAAAAAAUGAACGGUACCCCUGGAGGAAGUCCCGGCUAACUACGUGCCAGCAGCCGCGGUAAUACGUAGGGGGCGAGCGUUAUCCGGAAUUAUUGGGCGUAAAGAGUACGUAGGUGGUUUUUUAAGCGCAGGGUUUAAGGCGAUGGCUCAACUGUCGUUCGCCCUGUGAACUGGAAGACUUGAGUACAGGAGAGGAAAGCGGAAUUCCUAGUGUAGCGGUGAAAUGCAUAGAUAUUAGGAGGAACACCAGUGGCGAAGGCGGCUUUCUGGACUGUAACUGACACUGAGGUACGAAAGCGUGGGGAGCAAACAGGAUUAGAUACCCUGGUAGUCCACGCUGUAAACGAUGAGCACUAGGUGUCGGGGUCGCAAGAUCUCGGUGCCGCAGUUAACGCAUUAAGUGCUCCGCCUGGGGAGUACGCACGCAAGUGUGAAACUCAAAGGAAUUGACGGGGACCCGCACAAGCAGCGGAGCAUGUGGUUUAAUUCGAAGCAACGCGAAGAACCUUACCAGAACUUGACAUCCUCCUGACAGGCCUUUAAUCGGGCCCUUCUUCGGACAGGAGAGACAGGUGGUGCAUGGUUGCCGUCAGCUCGUGUCGUGAGAUGUUGGGUUAAGUCCCGCAACGAGCGCAACCCUUGUCAUUAGUUGCUAACAUUAAGUUGAGGACUCUAAUGAGACUGCCGGGGACAACUCGGAGGAAGGUGGGGAUGACGUCAAAUCAUCAUGCCCCUUAUGUUCUGGGCUACACACGUGCUACAAUGGCCGGUACAACGAGAAGCGAAGUCGCAAGGCGGAGCAAACCUCAAAAACCGGUCCCAGUUCGGAUUGCAGGCUGAAACCCGCCUGCAUGAAGCCGGAGUUGCUAGUAAUCGCGAAUCAGAAUGUCGCGGUGAAUGCGUUCCCGGGUCUUGUACACACCCCCGUC